This 331-nucleotide unclassified non-coding RNA is filed under the name soil metagenome. RNAcentral's name for it is "partial contains 5.8S ribosomal RNA, internal transcribed spacer 2, and large subunit ribosomal RNA". The stretch from base 1 to 120 matches the Rfam family "5.8S ribosomal RNA", at positions 35 to 154 of the family's 154-position model. The record is from RNAcentral.
GAUGAAGAACGUAGCGAAAUGCGAUAAGUAAUGUGAAUUGCAGAAUUCAGUGAAUCAUCGAAUCUUUGAACGCACAUUGCGCCCCCUGGUAUUCCGGGGGGCAUGCCUGUUCGAGCGUCAUUUCACCACUCAAGCCUCGCUUGGUAUUGGGCGACGCGGUCCGCCGCGUGCCUCAAAUCGACCGGCUGGGUCUUCUGUCCCCUAAGCGUUGUGGAAACUAUUCGCUAAAGGGUGUUCGGGAGGCUACGCCGUAAAACAACCCCAUUUCUAAGGUUGACCUCGGAUCAGGUAGGGAUACCCGCUGAACUUAAGCAUAUCAAUAAGCGGAGGA